RNAcentral lists this transfer RNA (82 nucleotides) under Tessaracoccus flavescens. RNAcentral's name for it is "tRNA-Leu". It matches the Rfam family "tRNA". From Rfam's summary of the family: Transfer RNA (tRNA) molecules are approximately 80 nucleotides in length. The record is from RNAcentral. Lineage: Bacteria; Bacillati; Actinomycetota; Actinomycetes; Propionibacteriales; Propionibacteriaceae.
GCCGAAGUGGUGGAAUUGGUAGACACGCCAGAUUUAGGUUCUGGUGCCUGCGGGUGUGAGGGUUCGAGUCCCUUCUUCGGUA